RNAcentral lists this ribosomal RNA (637 nucleotides) under Semanopterus sp. A NLG-2014. Its description in RNAcentral is "eukaryotic LSU rRNA". It matches the Rfam family "Eukaryotic large subunit ribosomal RNA", at positions 671 to 1265 of the family's 3401-position model. The record is from RNAcentral. Lineage: Eukaryota; Metazoa; Arthropoda; Insecta; Coleoptera; Scarabaeidae.
GAGUCUAGCAUGUGCGCGAGUCAUUGGGACUCUAACGAAACCUAAAGGCGUAAUGAAAGUGAAGGUUCGCCUCGCGCGAACCGAGGGAGGAUGGACGGUCGUCAAUGGCCGUCCCGCACUCCCUGGGCGUCUCGUUCUCAUCGCGAGAAGAGGCGCACCAAGAGCGUACACGCUGGGACCCGAAAGAUGGUGAACUAUGCCUGGUCAGGACGAAGUCAGGGGAAACCCUGAUGGAGGUCCGUAGCGAUUCUGACGUGCAAAUCGAUCGUCGGAACUGGGUAUAGGGGCGAAAGACUAAUCGAACCAUCUAGUAGCUGGUUCCCUCCGAAGUUUCCCUCAGGAUAGCUGGCGCUCGCUUCUCGCGAGUCUCAUUCGGUAAAGCGAAUGAUUAGAGGCAUUGGGGUCGAAACGGCCUCAACCUAUUCUCAAACUUUAAAUGGGUGAGAUCUCCGGCUUGCUUGAACUAUGAAGCCGCGAGAUAUCGGAUCAGAGUGCCAAGUGGGCCACUUUUGGUAAGCAGAACUGGCGCUGUGGGAUGAACCAAACGCUGAGUUAAAGCGCCUAAAUCGACGCUUAUGGGAUACCAUGAAAGGCGUUGGUAACUUAAGACAGCAGGACGGUGGCCAUGGAAGUCGGA